UACGUAGGGGGCAAGCGUUGUCCGGAGUUAUUGGGCGUAAAGAGCGUGUAGGCGGCUUCACAGGUCCGCUGUGAAAACUCGAGGCUCAACCUCGAGCUGUCGGUGGAAACCGUGUAGCUAGAGUCCGGAAGAGGAGAGUGGAAUUCCCGGUGUAGCGGUGAAAUGCGCAGAUAUCGGGAAGAACACCCGUGGCGAAGGGGGCUCUCUGGGACGGUACUGACGCUGAGACGCGAAAGCGUGGGGAGCGAACAGG
This 253-nucleotide ribosomal RNA is filed under the name uncultured bacterium. Its description in RNAcentral is "partial 16S ribosomal RNA". It matches the Rfam family "Bacterial small subunit ribosomal RNA", at positions 524 to 776 of the family's 1533-position model. The record is from RNAcentral.